Long non-coding RNA from Corvus hawaiiensis (hawaiian crow), 299 nucleotides. RefSeq lists it as uncharacterized. The transcript has 3 exons. The record is from RefSeq and is a predicted model, not a curated record. Lineage: Eukaryota; Metazoa; Chordata; Aves; Passeriformes; Corvidae.
AUUUGUCCUGGCUUGUUAGAAAGCAUCCCAGAAUGAGUCAGAGUGAAGAUCAGGGUUGUUCUAGUCAUCAAAGGCUUACAAAACAGUAUUAAAAACAAAUUGCGGAAGAAUGGGAAUGGUGAAAGAGAAUUGAAGGAAACAGGCUGCCAUGAUCUCAAACAUUCUUCAAACCAGCUGUGUGAUGUGGACAGUACCAGUCCUUCAGCAGCGUCCACCGACUGUCCACCAAGAGAAGAGCUGCAAUUCAUGGGUCACCUCACAUAGGUGGCAAAAACCCUGGGAAACCACACAGCUGAGAG